AGCUUUGUGCAGUGGCAUUAUUGCAGCCAAUGGGGUUUAUCCGAGGCGUGAUUAUUGCUAAUUAAAAAAAUGUUUA
Molecule: small nuclear RNA, 76 nt
Filed under: Canis lupus familiaris (dog)
Lineage: Eukaryota; Metazoa; Chordata; Mammalia; Carnivora; Canidae
Also listed under: 1 other name
Description: U4 spliceosomal RNA
Rfam family: U4 spliceosomal RNA
About the family: U4 small nuclear RNA (U4 snRNA) is a component of the major U2-dependent spliceosome. The structure of U4 snRNA from yeast and human has been reported.
Source: Rfam by way of RNAcentral